This 1391-nucleotide long non-coding RNA is filed under the name Gallus gallus (chicken). The record is from RNAcentral. Lineage: Eukaryota; Metazoa; Chordata; Aves; Galliformes; Phasianidae.
UGGCGCUCCAGGAGCAGCUGCCGUCCCAGUAUGGUGAUGUUCUGCGGAUGGUGGGGCUCCAGAUGUGCUCCAGGUGUUGUGUUCCAGAUGUGGCACUCCAGGAGCAGCUGUGGUCCCGGAGCAGUGAAGAUCCAAGUAUGGAGAUGUUCCGGGUCUGGUGGUGCUCCAGAUGUGUGUUCCAGAUGUGCUCCUGGAGUAGCAGCAGACCAGCCGUUGGGUCAUCCAGGAUCACCUUGAAGACGGUGUCAUCGUCACCACCGCCGUGCGCCGGGAAGUGCCGCGUGGCAUGGUGCCAUGGGACCACAAAGAGCCGGCGCCGCGCGUCCACCCAGCGCAGCCCUGGGAAACGCCCGCUGUCCACCUGGGCCACCAACCAUGGGCGCAGGCGCACGCGGCGCGGCACCGGGGACGCCAUCGAGGACAGGAGGGGACACCGGGAGAGGUGGUGCGGUGAUGAGGAGGUGACGCGGUGUGGCACGCGGUGACGCACGCGGGGAACUGCGUGGUGCAGUCGUGGAGAUGCUGUGGUUAAUGAUGGGUGUUUGUGGUCAUCCAAUAGGUGUUGUCACCUCUGGUCAACCAUCGUUCAUGGUCAUCUGUCACUCGUGGUCACCUCUGGUCAUCUCUGGUCACCCAACACUUGUGGUCACCUGUCAUUUAUGGUCACCCAUGGUCACCUCUGGUCACCCACAGUCAUCUGUCACCCAUGGUCACCCAUGGUCAGUUGUCACUUAAGUCACCCAUAGUCACCUCUGGUCCCCCGCAGUCAUCUGUCACCCAUGAUCAUCACUGGUCACUUCUGGUCACCUUUGGUCACCCAUCACUCACGGUCACCUAUCAACCAUGGUCAGAUGUCACCCACAGCCACCAAUGGUCACGCAUGGUCAUCUGUCACCCAUUGUCACCUACGGUAACCUCUGGUCACCCACAGUCACCUUCCACCCAUGGUCACCUCUGGUCACCUCUGGUCACCGAAAGCCCUUAUCAUUUGUCACUUAUGGUCAUCUCUGGUCAUCUUUAAUCACUCAUCACCCAUGGCCACCUUCCACCCAUGGCCACCAGUGGUUACCCAUGGUCAUCUGUUACCCACUGUCACCUCUGGUCACCUCCAGCCACCCCACACCCAUGGUCACCUAUCACCCAUGGUCACCUGUGUCAUUUAUGGUCACCCACUGUCACCUCUGGUCAUCCUUCACCUAUGCUUUUUAGGGUGACCCACUCGCCCCAGCCACCUUUGCUCACCCCUCACACCCCGCCACCCCAAAAGUGUCACAUGGGUCACACAGUGACAUCGGCCGUCCCUGGGGACACAGGGUGGGGAUUAUGACAAAAAUGGGGACCGAAAGAGGAACUCGUCCCUAUGCCCCAUGGAAAGGAGAAGUGACACCACA